Pelobates cultripes (western spadefoot toad) is the source of this 204-nucleotide non-coding RNA. The record is from the annotation of a GenBank genome assembly. NCBI's taxonomy places the organism in Eukaryota, Metazoa, Chordata, Amphibia, Anura, Pelobatidae.
GUACGUUAUAAAAUACAUACAAAUAAUAUAUGCAAGAAUUUUUGUUUUGUUUUUGCAUGUUGAGAGAAAUAUUACAGUGGCAUAUGUUAUUUUUUGGGUAAAAGAGUACAGACUACAGACAUUAGAAAUGAGCUGGUUUACAAAACCUUGAAAGUUGUAACAUAUAGGUUUAAGAAAGUAUCCAUUUUUAAAAAAAUAUUUAAU